This 682-nucleotide ribosomal RNA is filed under the name Moraxella catarrhalis. RNAcentral describes it as "partial 16S ribosomal RNA". The record is from RNAcentral. Lineage: Bacteria; Pseudomonadati; Pseudomonadota; Gammaproteobacteria; Moraxellales; Moraxellaceae.
CGUACUCCCCAGGCGGUCUACUUAUUGCGUUAACUGCGUCACUAAGUCUUUAAAAGACCCAACGACUGGUAGACAUCGUUUACGGCGUGGACUACCAGGGUAUCUAAUCCUGUUUGCUACCCACGCUUUCGCACCUCAGUGUCAGUAUGAUGCCAGGGAGCUGCCUUCGCCAUCGGUAUUCCUCCAGAUCUCUACGCAUUUCACCGCUACACCUGGAAUUCUACUCCCCUCUCACCUACUCUAGUUAUCCAGUAUCAGAUGCAGUUCCCAGGUUAAGCCCGGGGCUUUCACAUCUGACUUAAAUAACCGCCUACGCGCGCUUUACGCCCAGUAAUUCCGAUUAACGCUUGCACCCUCUGUAUUACCGCGGCUGCUGGCACAGAGUUAGCCGGUGCUUAUUCUGUGGGUAACGUCAGGGCUUAUGGGUAUUAACCAUAAGCUUUUCCUCCCCACUUAAAGUGCUUUACAACCAAAAGGCCUUCUUCACACACGCGGCAUGGCUGGAUCAGGCUUUCGCCCAUUGUCCAAUAUUCCCCACUGCUGCCUCCCGUAGGAGUCUGGGCCGUGUCUCAGUCCCAGUGUGGCUGAUCAUCCUCUCAGACCAGCUACAGAUCGUCGCCUUGGUAGGCCUUUACCCCACCAACCAGCUAAUCCGACUUAGGCUCAUCUAAUAGCGAGAGCU